UUUCUCUCUUGCAGUUUCAGAGCACUUAGCAGCCAUCUCUGGCUUGUGCCCACACAUGGGAAGUUUCACUGCAUUCUUGCACCCUAGUGGGAGAGCUCUCAAAGUCCCUUGAACAGACAGGAGGGAUCUUCCCUUUCUUCACUGGACUGUCCUGUUUGUUAUUGCCUGCGAGAAAAGGGGAAAGAACUUCAGUGCUUCCUUGAGAUGGCAUAAGCUUUCAAAUUUCACUUUCUUAAUGGUGUUAUAUGCAUUACUGGGCAUUGCAGGUGUUCCUUCCUUUUGUGUUGACAGAAGUCUUCAGAAAGUCUACUUCCAUGACUGGACCUUUGAUAAGAAGAGUUGAAGUACUUAGCAGUCUAAGUGCAGGAUGAUUGGUUUGAGCUUGUCAUGACACUUCAGCUCGUUGGCCUACCCUCUGCAAGAGUGCGGUAAGAAGCAAGUUCUUUGUUACAUAAGUUGAGCCGGGUUAGGAUUGCCCUGGAGAUGGAUCUUCCCAGCACACGUGCUGCAGUCACUGCAGUGUGCCCGUGGAGCAGCCAGAGCUCAGCAGCAAGUGCUGAGAUCUUCC
This 568-nucleotide long non-coding RNA is filed under the name Gallus gallus (chicken). RNAcentral describes it as "long non-coding RNA NONGGAT006859". Lineage: Eukaryota; Metazoa; Chordata; Aves; Galliformes; Phasianidae. The record is from RNAcentral.